RNAcentral lists this ribosomal RNA (476 nucleotides) under uncultured bacterium. RNAcentral's name for it is "bacterial SSU rRNA". It matches the Rfam family "Bacterial small subunit ribosomal RNA", at positions 28 to 504 of the family's 1533-position model. The record is from RNAcentral.
GAUGAACGCUGGCGGCGUGCUUAACACAUGCAAGUCGAACGGGAAACCUUUUAAAGAAGCUUCGGCAAAUUUAGCUGGUUUCUAGUGGCGGACGGGUGAGUAACGCGUGGGUAACCUGCCUUGUACAGGGGGAUAACAGUCAGAAAUGACUGCUAAUACCGCAUAAGCGCACAGGACCGCAUGGUCCAGUGUGAAAAACUCCGGUGGUAUAAGAUGGACCCGCGUUGGAUUAGCUAGUUGGUGGGGUAACGGCCUACCAAGGCGACGAUCCAUAGCCGGCCUGAGAGGGUGAACGGCCACAUUGGGACUGAGACACGGCCCAGACUCCUACGGGAGGCAGCAGUGGGGAAUAUUGCACAAUGGGGGAAACCCUGAUGCAGCGACGCCGCGUGAAGGAAGAAGUAUCUCGGUAUGUAAACUUCUAUCAGCAGGGAAGAAUUAGGACGGUACCUGACUAAGAAGCCCCGGCUAACUAC